UGGGGAAUAUUGCACAAUGGACGGAAGUCUGAUGCAGCAACGCCGCGUGCGGGAUGACGGCCUUCGGGUUGUAAACCGCUUUUUCUCAUGACGAAGUUUUUUGACGGUAGUGGGGGAAGAAGCACCGGCUAACUACGUGCCAGCAGCCGCGGUGAUACGUAGGGUGCGAGCGUUGUCCGGAAUUAUUGGGCGUAAAGAGCUUGUAGGCGGUUUGUCGCGUCGAUAGUGCAAACUCAGUGCUUAACGCUGAGCCUGCUGUUGAUACGGGCAGACUAGAGGAAGGUAGGGGAGAAUGGAAUUCCCGGUGGAGCGGUGGAAUGCGCAGAUAUCGGGAGGAACACCGGUGGCGAAGGCGGUUCUCUGGGCCUUUCCUGACGCUGAGAAGCGAAAACGUGGGGAGCGAACAGG
This 408-nucleotide ribosomal RNA is filed under the name Fusobacteriota bacterium. RNAcentral describes it as "Fusobacteria bacterium partial 16S ribosomal RNA". It matches the Rfam family "Bacterial small subunit ribosomal RNA", at positions 355 to 776 of the family's 1533-position model. The record is from RNAcentral. Lineage: Bacteria; Fusobacteriati; Fusobacteriota.